AAUCAACGCUGGCGGCGUGCCUCAGACAUGCAAGUCGAACGCGAAAGUUUCCUUCGGGGAACAAGUAGAGUGGCGCACGGGUGAGUAACACGUAGGUAAUCUACCUUUGGAUGGGGAAUAACAAUCGGAAACGGUUGCUAAUACCGCAUAAUGCAGCGGCACCUAAUGGUGACAGUUGUUAAAGCGGGGGAUCGAAAGACCUCGCGUCUGAAGAGGAGCCUGCGGCGGAUUAGCAGUUGGUAAGGUAAUGGCUUACCAAGGCUACGAUCCGUAACCGGCCUGAGAGGGCGGUCGGUCACACUGACACUGACAUACGGGUCAGACUCCUACGGGAGGCAGCAGUGGGGAAUCUUGCGCAAUGGGCGAAAGCCUGACGCAGCGACGCCGCGUGAGGGAUGACGGCCUCGGUUGUAA
RNAcentral lists this ribosomal RNA (414 nucleotides) under uncultured bacterium. RNAcentral's name for it is "bacterial SSU rRNA". It matches the Rfam family "Bacterial small subunit ribosomal RNA", at positions 32 to 428 of the family's 1533-position model. The record is from RNAcentral.